Molecule: transfer RNA, 64 nt
Filed under: Apoderinae sp. 2 AV-2018
Lineage: Eukaryota; Metazoa; Arthropoda; Insecta; Coleoptera; Attelabidae
Description: tRNA-Pro
Source: RNAcentral
CAAAGAAUAGUUUAAUAAAAAUAUUAAUUUUGGAGAUUAAUGAUAGGUAGUUUCUUUUCUUUGA